GUAAACCUCCCAACUUGUGGGAAGGUUACCAUGUGUUUCUCAGUGUUCAAAGCUGAGAGUAUUUGUAACUCAAAGCCUGUAGGUAAGAGUUGUUUGUUCUUGAAUGAAGCUGUGAAGCAAGUUCAAGUUGUUUAACAUUACAUUGUAUUUGUAGUGAUAGGAAUGGAAACUGGAGGUUUCUAUCUAGGAGUUCCUAGGUAUAGAUUGCAUUGGGUAGGGAUUAAGUGAAGAGUUGUAAACGGGGGAGUUUAACUCUGAAUUAAUACUGCUGAUAGUGGAUCUUCUUCCUGGCUUGGUAGCCCCCAGAUGUAGGUCAUGUUGGACCGAACUGGGUAAACAAUUUUCUGUGUUUGUUUUCCUUCUGCAUGUUAUAAUCCUGUCUGCCAUAACUCAGGUUGUAAUUCAGUCUGCUUAUCAAGUUAAUAACAGACCUGAUACAUAGCCUUCUGUUUGAAUGUCAAUCAGAAUGUUUUGACAUUCAUCAUUAACAACACAUACUGAAUAAUAGGCAUGUUGAUCUCAGUUCAGUAUUUAGUUAAGUCUGGUCUUCAAGAGGAUAACAGACCUGGCCAAAGGAUCAUAGUGAAACUGUCAAACUGGAUGUCUUGACAGUUGUACGUGUAGGCUGAUACUGAAGUAGAGACUGAUUAGUCUUUCACAGUAUAGUAAAGUUAGCACAGUCUGUUUUCAGGAACAUAACAGAAUCAACAUGAGGUAUAUGUUCUGAAUGUCAAACUAAAUGUUGUGACAUUCACACCUGACAGUUGGUGCUAAAUUGUAGGAUAAUUAGUUUUUCCGUUUCAGUAUUUUACUCAGGCUAAUUUAAGGAAUCCAACAGCUGAGCUAAAAUCCAGGAAAAUAACAACUAACCUACAAUUAAUGAACCUAACAAAUAGCCUAUUUGUCAGCUCCCUAAUGUGUGGAAAUUAGGUUACCUUGUUUGACGUUUUGUUUAGGAAACACGAGUACUAAGCCAGCAAAUUGGAAUACAGUAACAGGUGAUGUGCAAAUCAAUAUUGAUAUAUCAUGUUGAUAACUGUCCAAACACAACAGAAGUAAGUGUGGUGUUUGAUCUCUGCUGUGUCUUUAUACAAGAAGGACAGAACUAGGUGUACUUCCAUUCCAAGGUAAUACAGUAGCAAAUGUCGUGACUACUGUGUAAUCGUGCUUGAGUACAGGGUUUUAAUUUGUAUAACUGACUUGCUGUAUUAGUUACAAUGUUGGAUCAGAUGUCAUGACUUGGAGUAGAACAUCUGAAUUUUGACUACGCCAGAAUUUCAAUUGGUAUCAGAGCUGGCAUCCUGUUCUGUUUCUGGAUGAGAUCCAUGGGUGAUACUUUCUGGUAUCUUGCAAGGAGUUGUGUUAAUACUGAUGUUGGAACCUGUGGAAGGUUCUGUGAUGUCCCUGAAUGGUCCCUUGAAGUAGGUGGAUGGACUAUUCAUGACAGGAAAUGUGUGAACCUGUCUCUGAAGGCUGGCAAUUGGCUCUUACGUGGGACAGCUGUGCCAGUAUUGAAUCAUAUUCAAACUUGGUAUGGUCUUGGAGGCUGAUCUGGUGAAGUGUGUGUUCAUAGGUUGAGUUGUAUUAUGAUUUCCGCUGCAUAAUACCUGUCAAAACUCAAACUCUGAUGUAGUUUCCCCUCGUGUGGAUGAAAGGCUGCUGGAUUCAAGAUGUCAUCAUAAUCUACUGAAGAUGUCCAAGAUACUUGAGUCUCCUCAAGUCCACUCAUCAUGGUAAGGAUCACCUGAUCACUGAUUCCUUUUACUCCCUUGGGUAGUGCAUAUAAAGUCCUUGAAGACUUUCAAGGAGAGUUCGUACCAAGGAGGUGGAACUAAUGUUCUAUGAGAUGUUAGAACAUGUUGUUCAACAAGUAUGCAGCUACUGGUUGAAGAGCAGAUGUUUAGGUGUCAAACAAAGGGAUACUUUUGUUUGGAACCUACUCCUGACCUGGAAGAGGAGACAUCUGUGAGUGCUAAGUUGACAAGGGUAGGGUCAACUGUGUGUAUGCUCAAGAAGGUCACUUUUAGAAGUCUGAUCUCUAGAAGUGGAGCUGGUUGAGAUGUGACAUUGUGCAAUCCCUGAUGUGUGCCUUAUCCCUGUAGAUUGAUCAGGGUUGGAUAGUUGUUCCCUGAAGUACUAUGUUGUGUUGGAAGACAAGUCCCCUGGAUGUUAGAAGUCAAUAAUGGGGUAACCUGACUGCUAUUUCAUUUAAGAGGAUUGGGACCAUGAAUCUUGUUAUUCAAACACCACGCUCAGAAGUGGCAGUUCUUUCAAGGAGUGAGAAUAUGAAGAUUCAGAGGUUGGUUGAGGUAGUAUGCUCUGGCAAUGCAUAUCUACUAUUGACUGGUGUUGUUUUUUUUCACUAGUACUUAUGGUCAGCUGGAGUCUGAUUGGUGUGAUUGGAGUAUGUAUAGGUAUAACUCAUAGAGUUAGUUGCCACUGGUAGGGAUGGUGUAUGUCAUGUUGAGACAUUUGUGUACAAUGCAUGGAUAUUGGUGUGGAGUUUCCAUGAUUGUUAAUUUGAGGGGGAGUUUUGGUUAACCUCCUCACGUUUGGUCAGCCUAGGGUCUGGUUGGCUGUUGACCUGUGUCACAUGGGUUCUGGUUGUUGUGUGACACAUUUGCAAGGAAGGAUUCAUCUCUCUCAUUCCUAAGGGUGAAUCUAAUCUGGAAAGAUUCUCAAAACUGUUGAGGUGCUUGCAAGCAGAAGAUGUUGACACAAGAAGAGUAUUUUCAAAGUAUUCUUAUGGUGGAAGUAUCUGAAAGGAAAAUUGGGAAAGGAUUUAAGAUCAAUGUCUACUUGUGCCAAGUACAAGUAUUUAAUUGAUUAUCCUUGGAGCUCAAGAUAACUGAUGUUCUUAAAGAUGUUGGAACAUCACUUCUUCAAGACCCUGUGCAGAAUCACAGGAAGGAUAGUACAUUGGUUUAUGAUCUAUCUCUUUGGUGGCAGCAAAAGCAUAUGAUCUCUGAAAAGGUUUCCUGGCAAGAAACAUGUUCAGCCUUGGUAUGUACAAGAAGAAGAAGACAUCAUAGUCUUGAUGGUGGUUACUUGGAUCAGUUUAUUUCUGAUCUAGGUAAGGAAGUGCAUUAGCUAAUGCACACUGUGGAGUCAAGAACAAGUGGCAGCAGUCUUGACAUCAUGGAAACAGCCUUGCCUUAGGAUGUGGAAUCCUUGGUAGAGCUGAAGGGUUAGUGUCUAACUGGUCCUUCUGAAGACUCAUACAUCAGAGUGUCUGAUGUCUUUGGAGAAGAAGCAGGGAUUCAUCAAGGUGUGAGCUUGGAUGACUUAACUGCAAACCUGCAGGAUGGAGGUUGUUUACUCAAACUUGGUUCCACAAUCAAGUCUAUGAGAACAUUGAACUCUUGUUCUGUGAAGGGAGGAAGUUCUUUCAAGUGGCAGAAGAAGGAGCUGAAUUCAACAGCUGGAUGUCAAAACACAAUGUUGUGACAUUUGGUUCAACAUCAGAUUCUUAGUUGGUGAAGUGGCACAUCAACUUGAGAUAGAAGGGUCUACAGGGUUGUAGAUUGGACACUUCAAAAGGCUUGAAGUUCAAAUCUCACUUGGAAGGUCAGAACAUCUUUGGGAGAAGUCUGAUAAACUUGGAGAGGUCAAAAAGUGGCAUUUGACUUUUUCAUAUGAGGAUUCAUGAAGGAGGUAAUCAACCAGUGGCAUUUGGUCUAUCUCAGAAGUGAGUUCGAAGAAUCAAGAUAAUCAACAUAUGGCAGCUAAUUAUUCUUGAGGAAAGUCUGAGACAAAUUAAUUUUGAGCAGAAAAGGAGUAAGUUGAAGACAAAAAGAGGUGGUUUCUAUUCAUCUCUUGGAGCUUGUGGUAGGAGUUCUGAGCUAUCUAUGGAAGAUUAUCUAUUGUAAUGGGAUGAAAAAGUAUAUGUCCCAAUUUAUGUCUGGGUUUUCUUGAUCAAGCUGGUGACUCAGUGAUAUCUGAAGACUAUCAGAUGGUGUGCUUUGUUAUGUUGUGAAGGAUGUCCCAACUAAUGUUAGAACAUUUUGUGGAGUGGUGUUCUGUUCUGGUUAGAAGAGAGAUUGACACAGAGUGUAGAUGUGUUCAGCCCAGAGGGUUGAACAGAGGGGGUGCUCUUGAAGACAUGAAGAUGCGUCUUAUGUUUUCCAUUCAUCAAGUGGUCUGAGUUCUCUUUGAAUCAAGAAGUAUUUGAAGGUCCAACUCAUCUUAUGUUUUCCAUUCAUCAAGUGGUCUGAGUUCUCUUUGAAUCAAGAAGUAUUUGAAGGUCCAACUCUGGGGUGUUGGAUAUGUUCCUGUGUGAUCACCAAGUAUCAAGAGGAGAGUUGGAUGUUAAUGACAGGGGGAGUUAUAUCCUUGUGCUGCAAGUAAUCAUCAAGCUGGUGGUCUAUGUGUUCUCAGAUAACAAGGCAUGGCACCUUGUUAGCUAUUGGGAUGAUGUGGUGCAUGUGAAUGCUGAGUGAGCAUAAGAAUGUCUGACCGGAUGUCAUGACAUUGCCUGGGACAAUAGUUUUCCUUCUAAAGCUCACAGUCAUUAGGAAAUAUGGAUGUGAUGUGUCUAAUCAGAAUAAGCCUGAGUGCUACAGUUGUGUGUUACAGGGGGGGUAACCAUCUACUGAUGUGUGGGAUUUUGGCUGUAGUGGUGCCAGAUGUCAAGCCACUACUGGAGGCACGAAGAAUACAUGAAGAAUACAGACAAAAGCCACGUGGAAUGUUAAGACAUCGCGUGCAACGCGUCUGUCUGCAUAUAUGGAAUAGUCUUCAUGCACUGGAACUGUUGUUUCGGAAAAGAAACAAUCAAGAGCUAUAAAAGGUAUUCAAAGAUAGCCUGAGAUUUUUUUUGGUGAUUCUCUGACUGUUUCUCAGCAGAUAUUAAUGAAUCUUGACCAAGCAUUUAUUCCCACCGUUAAUUCCUAAGCACGGGCUGGACUAUUUAAAGGAUGUAUCAGCUCUCCUCUUCUCACAAGAGAUACAUUCCAUUCCCUCUAAACCAUGGGGUAUGUCAAGGUAUGGGCAAACUGCGCUUGGAUCUGGUUUUGUGAAGGGUUCAGUUGUAAAUGUUUAGCUAAAAAGGGGGAGAGAAAUAGGGUCCUGAGAAUGUACCAGAAGCAAGCAAACUGUGAUAGCAAACAGAAGUUGGCGUCAGGCACAAAAGCCACCAACUGGGUAUAUCACUUGUGUCUUGUGAUCUGAGUUAAGAAGACAGAUGUGUCUUGUGAUCUGAGUUACAUUGUCUAUGUACUCAGCAUUACAUAUUCUUCAGGAAGCCCUCCUGCUGAGGGGAAGGGCUGUGAUGCAGCUGCGCCAUGUACCUCUACUUCCUCAUGUACACCAACUUUGGUGUUUGUGGUGGUGGAGAUAAUGACAGAGGCUUAUUUGUUUUAGCUAAAAUUUGCCAAAAGGGGAGAUUGUUAAUACCUUAGGAUUGGCAUUAAUUUUGUAAAACAAAUAAUGUAAUCAUCUCUGUUGUUUUAAUAUGUUGGGUUGAAGAAGUUCAACAUCUGGACCAACAUGUCAUGUACGAUGUCACGACAUCAUGCCUGUGACAUCGUACAUGUGUAGAAAACUGAAUUAAUUAAUUCAGUAUAUAUUCUAGGAUUAGUAAGGAUAUUUGGUGAAUAUCCUAACUCCCAUGUGGAGGUCUUAAAGACUCAAUCAGAAUAUAUAUAGGCUCAAAAUAAGGAGAUAUAUAUGGAGAGAUUUUAGGAUUGAAGACCUUGUUUGUAGCAGAAAUUUUCUGCUGACUUUGUAACAGCAAAGAAGAAGUUUGCUGCGAUUUCUGAAGGCCCAAAUCCAGUUGGGUGAUUAGGUUAUAAAUAGCAAAUUGUAACCUAGUUUUUGUAAGCCUCUUAGAAUGAAAAAUUAGGGGUGUGUGUGAGGUAAACCUCCCAACUUGUGGGAAGGUUACCAUGUGUUUCUCAGUGUUCAAAGCUGAGAGUAUUUGUAACUCAAAGCCUGUAGGUAAGAGUUGUUUGUUCUUGAAUGAAGCUGUGAAGCAAGUUCAAGUUGUUUAACAUUACAUUGUAUUUGUAGUGAUAGGAAUGGAAACUGGAGGUUUCUAUCUAGGAGUUCCUAGGUAUAGAUUGCAUUGGGUAGGGAUUAAGUGAAGAGUUG
RNAcentral lists this long non-coding RNA (6090 nucleotides) under Lathyrus oleraceus (garden pea). Its description in RNAcentral is "Pisum sativum (pea) long non-coding RNA (PSAT_LNC034204)". Lineage: Eukaryota; Viridiplantae; Streptophyta; Magnoliopsida; Fabales; Fabaceae. The record is from RNAcentral.